RNAcentral lists this long non-coding RNA (730 nucleotides) under Androctonus crassicauda. The record is from RNAcentral. Lineage: Eukaryota; Metazoa; Arthropoda; Arachnida; Scorpiones; Buthidae.
CCUGUUUUCUUAAUGUCACUAGCCAAUCAUUUGCUGAUUACUAAGUAGUCCAAUCAAUCCCUAUUAUAAGUCUCACAUCUGUGGAAGCAUUAGUGAGACUAUAGAGAUGGAGAUCAAAAAGGCAGAACCUGAAUCUGGAAUCCUUGAAUUUCUCAAGGAGUGGACCUGGAAUCAAUUCCAGUCUUCUAAUGGAAAGUCAAAGCACUUACAUGUAUCUAAUGCAGAAAAUUUAGUCAAUCAGAUGAUCAUUGUGGAAGCAUAUUAUGCUUCUACUGCAUUACUUUGGGCACAUCCAAUAUUUAUAAAAAUUCAGCAGUAGAUCACUGCAGUGGAAAUGUACUAUGCUUCCAUUGUUUUUCCAAGAGGAGUCUGGGUCUGGCUCAUUGAAUCCAUUCUUUACAUGAUGGCUGCAAGGUGCAGUUGGCUCUUGGUGGAAGGAAAUGCUCCAUUGUUUAGUAUUCAUUGAGUGGAAAAUAGCAUAAAAACCACACAGGAAAAAAUACAGCCAAUUUUUGGCACCUGUUCACAUGACAUGUUAGCAGUUCAUAUCUCAGAAAUGGCCUUGUUGUUUAUCUCUGAGUGGAAAGUGGCAUAAAGUGGAAAUAAUCAAAAUAUAUCCAAAAGCUGAUAUUUACUGUUCUUUACCAGUUUCAUAAAAUAUUCAAUGUAAGAAAGCAGUUUAAUGAAAAUUAAUUAAAAAAUCUAUGACAUAAUGUGAUAUUAAAUGUUU